This 479-nucleotide ribosomal RNA is filed under the name uncultured bacterium. RNAcentral describes it as "partial 16S ribosomal RNA". It matches the Rfam family "Bacterial small subunit ribosomal RNA", at positions 28 to 507 of the family's 1533-position model. The record is from RNAcentral.
GAUGAACGCUAGCGGGAGGCCUAACACAUGCAAGCCGAGCGGUAUGGAUAGCUUGCUAUCCAGAGAGCGGCGUACGGGUGCGUAACACGUGUGCAACCUACCUUUAUCUGGGGGAUAGCCUUUCGAAAGGAAGAUUAAUACCCCAUAAUAUAAUGAUUGGCAUCAAUUAUUAUUGAAAACUCCGGUGGAUAGAGAUGGGCACGCGCAAGAUUAGAUAGUUGGUGAGGUAACGGCUCACCAAGUCAAUGAUCUUUAGGGGUCCUGAGAGGGAGAUCCCCCACACUGGUACUGAGACACGGACCAGACUCCUACGGGAGGCAGCAGUGAGGAAUAUUGGACACUGGGGGGGAGCCUGAUCCAGCCAUCCCGCGUGAAGGAUGACGGUCCUAUGGAUUGUAAACUUCUUUUGUACAGGGAUAAACCUACCCUCGUGAGGGUAGCUGAAGGUACUGUACGAAUAAGCACCGGCUAACUCCGUG